GAUCAUGGCUCAGGAUGAACGCUAGCUACAGGCUUAACACAUGCAAGUCGAGGGGAAACGAUAUUGGAAGCUUGCUUCCGAUAGGCGUCGACCGGCGCACGGGUGAGUAACGCGUAUCCAACCUGCCCACCACUUGGGGAUAACCUUGCGAAAGUAAGACUAAUACCCAACUGAUAUCUCUAGAAGAACAUCUGAAGAAGAUAAGAUUAUGUGAUGAUGGGAGUGNGU
This 228-nucleotide ribosomal RNA is filed under the name uncultured bacterium. RNAcentral's name for it is "partial 16S ribosomal RNA". It matches the Rfam family "Bacterial small subunit ribosomal RNA", at positions 15 to 232 of the family's 1533-position model. The record is from RNAcentral.